ACUCCUACGGGAGGCAGCAGUGGGGAAUAUUGCACAAUGGGCGCAAGCCUGAUGCAGCCAUGCCGCGUGUGUGAAGAAGGCCUCGGUUGUAAAGCACUUUCAGUUGUGAGGAAGGUGGUGUCGUUAAUAGCGGCAUCAUUUGACGUUAGCAACAGAAGAAGCACCGGCUAACUCCGUGCCAGCAGCCGCGGUAAUACGGAGGGGUGCGAGCGUUAAUCGGAAUUACUGGGCGUAAAGCGCAUGCAGGUGGUUUGUUAAGUCAGAUGUGAAAGCCCGGGGCUCAACCUCGGAACUGCAUUUGAAACUGGCAGACUAGAGUACUGUAGAGGGGGUAGAAUUUCAGGUGUAGCGGUGAAAUGCGUAGAGAUCUGAAGGAAUACCGGUGGCGAAGGCGGCCCCCUGGACAGAUACUGACACUCAGAUGCGAAAGCGUGGGGAGCAAACAGGAUUAGAUACCCUGGUAGCACAGAG
This 471-nucleotide ribosomal RNA is filed under the name uncultured bacterium. Its description in RNAcentral is "bacterial SSU rRNA". It matches the Rfam family "Bacterial small subunit ribosomal RNA", at positions 335 to 799 of the family's 1533-position model. The record is from RNAcentral.